Molecule: ribosomal RNA, 773 nt
Filed under: Agromyces sp.
Lineage: Bacteria; Bacillati; Actinomycetota; Actinomycetes; Micrococcales; Microbacteriaceae
Description: bacterial SSU rRNA
Rfam family: Bacterial small subunit ribosomal RNA
Source: RNAcentral
CGUGCUUAACACAUGCAAGUCGAACGAUGAACCCGGAGCUUGCUCUGGGGGAUUAGUGGCGAACGGGUGAGUAACACGUGAGUAACCUGCCCUGGACUCUGGGAUAACCCCGAGAAAUCGGAGCUAAUACCGGAUAGGACCUGGAACCGCAUGGUUUUGGGUGGAAAGUUUUUUCGGUCUGGGAUGGACUCGCGGCCUAUCAGCUUGUUGGUGAGGUAAUGGCUCACCAAGGCGUCGACGGGUAGCCGGCCUGAGAGGGUGACCGGCCACACUGGGACUGAGACACGGCCCAGACUCCUACGGGAGGCAGCAGUGGGGAAUAUUGCACAAUGGGCGAAAGCCUGAUGCAGCAACGCCGCGUGAGGGAUGACGGCCUUCGGGUUGUAAACCUCUUUUAGUAGGGAAGAAGGGCUUCGGCUUGACGGUACCUGCAGAAAAAGCACCGGCUAACUACGUGCCAGCAGCCGCGGUAAUACGUAGGGUGCGAGCGUUGUCCGGAAUUAUUGGGCGUAAAGAGCUCGUAGGCGGUUUGUCACGUCUGCUGUGAAAUCCCGAGGCUCAACCUCGGGCCUGCAGUGGGUACGGGCAGACUGGAGUGCGGUAGGGGAGAUUGGAAUUCCUGGUGUAGCGGUGGAAUGCGCAGAUAUCAGGAGGAACACCGAUGGCGAAGGCAGAUCUCUGGGCCGUAACUGACGCUGAGGAGCGAAAGCGUGGGGAGCGAACAGGAUUAGAUACCCUGGUAGUCCACGCCGUAAACGUUGGGCGCUAGAUGU